RNAcentral lists this long non-coding RNA (878 nucleotides) under Nicotiana benthamiana. Its description in RNAcentral is "long non-coding RNA (NBEN_LNC008614)". The record is from RNAcentral. Lineage: Eukaryota; Viridiplantae; Streptophyta; Magnoliopsida; Solanales; Solanaceae.
CCAGAAGCAGAACUACAAAUAGUUUUGAAUUUUCUUCCUAUCAAUAAUAUCCUUAGUAAAAUUUGUAUCUACCAAAUUAAGCUAGCUUAGCUUAAAUUAAAACAACAACACCAACAACAACUAGGGUCUUAAUAGGACAGAAUGUAUGUGGACCUUAGCCCUACCAUAGGGGAUAAGCACCCCUAAUCUAUAACCCGAAUUCUUGACAUCCACACCUUCAUAUCAAGAGCUAUGCACUUAGAAAUUUGAAGUUGCGCCAUGUCCUUCCUAAUCAACUCGCCCAAAUACUUCUUAGGUCAUCCUCUACCUCUUCUCGUACUUACUAAAGCCAUCAGCUCACACCUCCUAACCGAGGCAUCUAGGCUUCUAAUCUCACGUGCCUAAACCAUCUGGCCUCACUUCAAUAUCUUGUCGUCAAUUGGAGAAACGCCCGUCCUCUCCCAAAUAUAUGCAUUCCUAAUCUUAUCUAGCCUUGUGUGCCCACACAUCCACCUUAACACCCUCAUUUCGGCUACUUUUAUUUUCUGGAUAUGUGCAUUCUUAACUGGCCAACACUCAACCCCAUACAUUUGGAUGGUCUAACCACUGCUCUAUUGAACUUACCCUUAAAUUUCAUUGGCGUAUUCUUAUCACGCUAGGCUCCAGACACUAACCUCCAUUUCAUCUAUACCACCUCAAUAUAGUGUGUGACAUCCUCAUCAAUCUCCCCAUCUCCCUGGAUAAUUGACCCUAGGUACUUGAAACUUUCUCUCUUGGGGAUGACUUGUGAGUCGAGCCUCACUUCCACGUCUGUUUCCUCGUUACGCUGCUGAACUUACACUCCAGGUAUUCCGUCUUAGUCCUACUCAACUUGAAACCUCUGGACUCCAGGGCCUGCC